Long non-coding RNA from Anguilla anguilla (European eel), 709 nucleotides. RefSeq lists it as uncharacterized. The record is from RefSeq and is a predicted model, not a curated record. The transcript has 2 exons. NCBI's taxonomy places the organism in Eukaryota, Metazoa, Chordata, Actinopteri, Anguilliformes, Anguillidae.
GGUACUACAAGAGAUUCGCACAGCGUCAGAGAGGCGCUGGGUCAGGAAGAGCGAGGGGCAGUUUCUCUGCAAAAAAGGAAAUGACAAAAGAGGGAAAAGGAAUUUUUUUACGGAAUUCAAAAAACUGGAUGAAUCAGGUCUCGUCCAGAAGACUGCCUUCUUUUUUAAGAGGACAGGGGUAAAACCAUCAGAGUUAUCCUGGGACUGGAGUAAGAAGAUGAAGGGGGCAUUUCUCUGCAAUCAACACUAUUAGAUAAAAGGCCAAAAUGUGCCAUUUUUAAUCCAAAUGUACUUUAAAACUUAACUUUUUUUACCAGGUAUACUUGAUAGCAUGCAAGGCUACUAAAAAAAACCCAACAGGUUUAGAUGGAAUGGUUAUCAGGAUGCGAGUACCAAAUGUGAUGCAGGGUAUAUGAAAGUCGGCAGCAGAGUAUGCAACCAAUAUUUUACUGUUGAAACCCCAAACAGACAUCUUCAGGAGCCAUGAACACAUCUGAGGUAUCACUGAUGUAUAUACUGAGGAUGGGGUGGGAUACCUUUCCAACAACAGCAUAUACCACCGUGUGGUAGAUCAUUCACAGUGCUACUCUGUUUAAAUUUUUCAAAAAGCUAUAAAAGGAGGACAGGAAGAAGGAGAAACAAGCCUGAUUGCGGAAUAUGUAAUGUUGUGCACUACAACACAACAUUUAAUAAACAGAAUCAAAGUCCA